This 425-nucleotide ribosomal RNA is filed under the name uncultured bacterium. RNAcentral's name for it is "bacterial SSU rRNA". It matches the Rfam family "Bacterial small subunit ribosomal RNA", at positions 356 to 773 of the family's 1533-position model. The record is from RNAcentral.
GGGGAAUUUUGGACAAUGGGCGAAAGCCUGAUCCAGCCAUUCCGCGUGCAGGAUGAAGGCCUUCGGGUUGUAAACUGCUUUUGGACGGAACGAAAAGCCACUUUCUAAUACAAGGUGGUCAUGACGGUACCGUCAGAAUAAGCACCGGCUAACUACGUGCCAGCAGCCGCGGUAAUACGUAGGGUGCAAGCGUUAAUCGGAAUUACUGGGCGUAAAGCGUGCGCAGGCGGUUAUGUAAGACAGAUGUUAAAUCCCCGGGCUCAACCUGGGAACUGCAUUUGUGACUGCAUAGCUAGAGUACGGUAGAGGGGGAUGGAAUUCCGCGUGUAGCAGUGAAAUGCGUAGAUAUGCGGAGGAACACCGAUGGCGAAGGCAAUCCCCUGGACCUGUACUGACGCUCAUGCACGAAAGCGUGGGGAGCAAAC